RNAcentral lists this ribosomal RNA (477 nucleotides) under Salmonella enterica subsp. enterica serovar Enteritidis. RNAcentral describes it as "partial 23S ribosomal RNA". It matches the Rfam family "Bacterial large subunit ribosomal RNA", at positions 43 to 559 of the family's 2925-position model. The record is from RNAcentral. Lineage: Bacteria; Pseudomonadati; Pseudomonadota; Gammaproteobacteria; Enterobacterales; Enterobacteriaceae.
GAGGCGAUGAAGGGCGUACUAAUCUGCGAUAAGCGCCGGUAAGGUGAUAUGAACCGUUAUAACCGGCGAUACCCGAAUGGGGAAACCCAGUGUGAUUCGUCACACUAUCAUUAACUGAAUCCAUAGGUUAAUGAGGCGAACCGGGGGAACUGAAACAUCUAAGUACCCCGAGGAAAAGAAAUCAACCGAGAUUCCCCCAGUAGCGGCGAGCGAACGGGGAGGAGCCCAGAGCCUGAAUCAGCAUGUGUGUUAGUGGAAGCGUCUGGAAAGGCGCGCGAUACAGGGUGACAGCCCCGUACACAAAAGCGCAUGUGCUGUGAGCUCGAUGAGUAGGGCGGGACACGUGGUAUCCUGUCUGAAUAUGGGGGGACCAUCCUCCAAGGCUAAAUACUCCUGACUGACCGAUAGUGAACCAGUACCGUGAGGGAAAGGCGAAAAGAACCCCGGCGAGGGGAGUGAAAAAGAACCUGAAACCGU